UUAGAACAGGGACUGAUGAACUAGUCACUGAUAAAGGAAAAAUUUAGGGGCACUAAAAGAGGAAGGGAAGGACGAAAGGGCAGGGUCUUUAAGAGGGAACAUCCACUUGAGGAUUCGCAGACCGCUUCUCAUUAAUCAACUGCUCUUUGAGAUCCUCAAUAUGUUUCAUCGGCUUUGCAUUUUCAGCUGUCCAGCGGGCAACAUUUGCACCCUGAGCACUGCUAGAACCGAGUUCCUCUUUGGGUUGAUUGAUCUUUCCUCCAAGAAUGACAUUUUUAGCUUUCAGCCUCCUUAUCUCCUUCUUAGCAGCACUCUGAGCAUCAAUCGAAUGAUAAACUGUAGAACUGCUGCGAACUCCCUCUUCUUAUCAAUACACUCGCAUUCCUCCAAGGCAUUUAUUGAGAACAUUUGCUUAUGAGUUCCCACAACUGCUCUCCCCAAGGGGACUUUGAAAUAUUCAGAAACUUUAGUGAGUAGAAACUCAUAUGGCAACCCAUGGUUCCCAUCCUUGAAGUUUGUCACCUUCUUCAUAUGUUCAAUCAAGAUUUCGGGCAGAUUGAUAGCAGCGUAUCCGCCCAAUGCCUCCAAAAGAACCAGUUCUGCUAUC
RNAcentral lists this long non-coding RNA (607 nucleotides) under Nicotiana benthamiana. Its description in RNAcentral is "long non-coding RNA (NBEN_LNC014445)". The record is from RNAcentral. Lineage: Eukaryota; Viridiplantae; Streptophyta; Magnoliopsida; Solanales; Solanaceae.